This 497-nucleotide ribosomal RNA is filed under the name uncultured bacterium. RNAcentral describes it as "partial 16S ribosomal RNA". It matches the Rfam family "Bacterial small subunit ribosomal RNA", at positions 28 to 507 of the family's 1533-position model. The record is from RNAcentral.
GAUGAACGCUGGCGGCGUGCCUAAUACAUGCAAGUCGAGCGAACAGACGAGGAGCUUGCUCCCCUGACGUUAGCGGCGGACGGGUGAGUAACACGUGGAUAACCUACCUAUAAGACUGGGAUAACUUCGGGAAACCGGAGCUAAUACCGGAUAAUAUAUUGAACCGCAUGGUUCAAUAGUGAAAGACGGUUUUGCUGUCACUUAUAGAUGGAUCCGCGCCGCAUUAGCUAGUUGGUAAGGUAACGGCUUACCAAGGCAACGAUGCGUAGCCGACCUGAGAGGGUGAUCGGCCACACGGGAACUGAGACACGGUCCAGACGCCUACGGGAGGCAGCAGUAGGGAAUCUUCCGCAAUGGGCGAAAGCCUGACGGAGCAACGCCGCGUGAGUGAUGAAGGUCUUCGGAUCGUAAAACUCUGUUAUUAGGGAAGAACAAAUGUGUAAGUAACUAUGCACGUCUUGACGGUACCUAAUCAGAAAGCCACGGCUAACUACGUG